AGAGUUUGAUCCUGGCUCAGGAUGAACGCUAGCUACAGGCUUAACACAUGCAAGUCGAGGGGCAGCAUGGUCUUAGCUUGCUAAGGCCGAUGGCGACCGGCGCACGGGUGAGUAACACGUAUCCAACCUGCCGUCUACUCUUGGACAGCCUUCUGAAAGGAAGAUUAAUACAAGAUGGCAUCAUGAGUCCGCAUGUUCACAUGAUUAAAGGUAUUCCGGUAGACGAUGGGGAUGCGUUCCAUUAGAUAGUAGGCGGGGUAACGGCCCACCUAGUCUUCGAUGGAUAGGGGUUCUGAGAGGAAGGUCCCCCACAUUGGAACUGAGACACGGUCCAAACUCCUACGGGAGGCAGCAGUGAGGAAUAUUGGUCAAUGGGCGAGAGCCUGAACCAGCCAAGUAGCGUGAAGGAUGACUGCCCUAUGGGUUGUAAACUUCUUUUAUAAAGGAAUAAAGUCGGGUAUGGAUACCCGUUUGCAUGUACUUUAUGAAUAAGGAUCGGCUAACUCCGUGCCAGCAGCCGCGGUAAUACGGAGGAUCCGAGCGUUAUCCGGAUUUAUUGGGUUUAAAGGGAGCGUAGAUGGAUGUUUAAGUCAGUUGUGAAAGUUUGCGGCUCAACCGUAAAAUUGCAGUUGAUACUGGAUAUCUUGAGUGCAGUUGAGGCAGGCGGAAUUCGUGGUGUAGCGGUGAAAUGCUUAGAUAUCACGAAGAACUCCGAUUGCGAAGGCAGCCUGCUAAGCUGCAACUGACAUUGAGGCUCGAAAGUGUGGGUAUCAAACAGGAUUAGAUACCCUGGUAGUCCACACGGUAAACGAUGAAUACUCGCUGUUUGCGAUAUACUGCAAGCGGCCAAGCGAAAGCGUUAAGUAUUCCACCUGGGGAGUACGCCGGCAACGGUGAAACUCAAAGGAAUUGACGGGGGCCCGCACAAGCGGAGGAACAUGUGGUUUAAUUCGAUGAUACGCGAGGAACCUUACCCGGGCUUAAAUUGCAGAUGAAUUACGGUGAAAGCCGUAAGCCGCAAGGCAUCUGUGAAGGUGCUGCAUGGUUGUCGUCAGCUCGUGCCGUGAGGUGUCGGCUUAAGUGCCAUAACGAGCGCAACCCUUGUUGUCAGUUACUAACAGGUUCUGCUGAGGACUCUGACAAGACUGCCAUCGUAAGAUGUGAGGAAGGUGGGGAUGACGUCAAAUCAGCACGGCCCUUACGUCCGGGGCUACACACGUGUUACAAUGGGGGGUACAGAGGGCCGCUACCACGCGAGUGGAUGCCAAUCCCAAAAACCUCUCUCAGUUCGGACUGGAGUCUGCAACCCGACUCCACGAAGCUGGAUUCGCUAGUAAUCGCGCAUCAGCCACGGCGCGGUGAAUACGUUCCCGGGCCUUGUACACACCGCCCGUCAAGCCAUGGGAGCCGGGGGUACCUGAAGUGCGUAACCGCGAGGAGCGCCCUAGGGUAAAACUGGUGACUGGGGCUAAGUCGUAACAAGGUAGCCG
This 1490-nucleotide ribosomal RNA is filed under the name uncultured bacterium. RNAcentral describes it as "16S ribosomal RNA". It matches the Rfam family "Bacterial small subunit ribosomal RNA". The record is from RNAcentral.